RNAcentral lists this unclassified non-coding RNA (265 nucleotides) under Hevea brasiliensis (rubber tree). Lineage: Eukaryota; Viridiplantae; Streptophyta; Magnoliopsida; Malpighiales; Euphorbiaceae. The record is from RNAcentral.
GAUAGAUGUGGCUAAUGAAUUUGGCGUUCCGUCUUACUUUUUCUGUACGUCAGGUGCAGCUUUUCUUGGUUUUGUGCUUUAUGAGCAGAAGAUCCACGAUGAGGCAGAAUUUGACGCCAUUCAGUUCAAGGAUUCAGAUACCGAGUUAUUAGUGCCGUGUUUGAUAAAUCCAUUUCCUGCUAGAAGUACGCCUUCUGCGAUGUUAAACAAAGAGCGGCUUCCUUAUUUACGUAACGCAGCAAGAAGGUUUAGAGAAGCUAAGGGU